Molecule: ribosomal RNA, 435 nt
Filed under: uncultured bacterium
Lineage: Bacteria
Description: bacterial SSU rRNA
Rfam family: Bacterial small subunit ribosomal RNA
Source: RNAcentral
AACGCGAAGAACCUUACCAGGCCUUGACAUCCAAUGAACUUUCCAGAGAUGGAUUGGUGCCUUCGGGAGCAUUGAGACAGGUGCUGCAUGGCUGUCGUCAGCUCGUGUCGUGAGAUGUUGGGUUAAGUCCCGUAACGAGCGCAACCCUUGUCCUUAGUUACCAGCACGUAAUGGUGGGCACUCUAAGGAGACUGCCGGUGACAAACCGGAGGAAGGUGGGGAUGACGUCCAGUCAUCAUGGCCCUUACGGCCUGGGCUACACACGUGCUACAAUGGUCGGUACAAAGGGUUGCCAAGCCGCGAGGUGGAGCUAAUCCCAUAAAACCGAUCGUAGUCCGGAUCGCAGUCUGCAACUCGACUGCGUGAAGUCGGAAUCGCUAGUAAUCGCGAAUCAGAAUGUCGCGGUGAAUACGUUCCCGGGUCUUGUACACACCG